UAAUCCAAUUUGCCACUCCAAGUCUUUUAGGUGGGGUGUUUAGGUUGUUUACAUUCAAGGUUAAUAUUGAGACAUGAGGCUUUAUUCCUAACAUGGUGUCAUUAGCUGGUUGCUCUGUAGUUUGGAUUGUGUAGUUGCUUUACAGGGUCUGUGGGCUAUGUGCUUAUGUGUAUUUUUGUGGUAGCAGGUGUCACCAUUCUUUCAUUUCCAUGUUUAGAACUCUCAAGACUCUCUUGUAGGGCCAGUCUGGUGAUAACAAAUUCUUUUAGCAGUUGCUUGUCUGGGAAAGAUUUUAUUUCUUCUUUGCUCAUGUAGCUUAGUUUGGCAGGAUAUGGAAUUCUUGGUUAGGAUUUUUCUUUUUUAUUUUUUUUCUUAAAGAGACUGGGUCUCACUAUGGUUUUUUGGUUUUUGUUUUUUUGUUUUGAGACAGAGUCUUGCUGUUGUUGCCCAGGCUGGAGUGCAAUGGUGCAAUCUCGGCUCACUGAAACCUCUGCCUCCUGGGUUCCAGCAAUACUCCUGCCUCAGCCUCCUGAGUAGCUGAGAUUAUAGGCACCUGCCACCACGCCCGGCUAAUUUUUGUAUUUUUAGUGGAGAUGGGGUUUCACCAUGUUGGCCAGGCUGGUCUGGAACUCCUGACCUCAGGUGAUCCACUCACCUCAGCCUCCCAAAGUGCUAGGAUUACAGGUGUGAGCCACCGCGCCUGGCCUGUUUUUUUGUUUGUUUUUGUUUUAAACAGGAUCUUGUUCUGUUGCCCAAGGUGGAAUACCGUGGUGAGAUGUCAGAUCACUGCAACCUCUGCCUCCCAGACUAAAGCGAUUCUCUUGCCUCAGCCUCCGGAGUGGCUGGGACUACAGGCGCACACCACCACACCCAGCUAGCUAAUUGUUGUAUUUUUUGUAGGAACAGGGUUUCAUCAUGUUGCCCAGACUGGUCUCAAACUCCUGAGUUCAAGCAAUCUGCCUACCUUGGCCUCCCAAAGUGCUGGGAUUACAGGUGUGAGCCGCCGUGCCCAGCCAGGAUUUCUUUUCUUUUCUUUAAGAAUGCUAAAAACAGUCCCCCAAUCUCUUCUGACUUGUAAAGUUUCUGCUGAGAAGUCUGCUGUUA
RNAcentral lists this long non-coding RNA (1104 nucleotides) under Homo sapiens (human). RNAcentral describes it as "HSALNT0039401". The record is from RNAcentral. Lineage: Eukaryota; Metazoa; Chordata; Mammalia; Primates; Hominidae.